RNAcentral lists this ribosomal RNA (507 nucleotides) under Triticum aestivum (bread wheat). RNAcentral describes it as "partial small subunit ribosomal RNA". Lineage: Eukaryota; Viridiplantae; Streptophyta; Magnoliopsida; Poales; Poaceae. The record is from RNAcentral.
AUGGAGUACGUCCGGUCCGUGGACCUGCUGCCCGUCCUCGGCCCCAAAGCCCGGGCCACUGGCCUCGUCGCCGGGCUCGACUCUAGGGACUGGGUCAUGGUCUGCGAGGCCCUCAACGACGCGCGCUGCCUCACCAUCCACCACCCCGUCCUCCUCGCCCCCAUCUUCAUCGGGAGGUGGAAGUGUGCAGCGUUGCCGGGGAUAGUCCCACUCUCAUACCAGCUGCGCAAGCAGCCUGCACCGGCGCCGAAGUGGUGUUUGAUUGAGAAAUGCCCCCCUUUCCUGUGCUUAGAUAUGCCCACUAAGCAACCAGAAGAAGCUGCAAUGAUGGAGAUCACACGCUCCUUCGACCAGCCAUGGCUAGCCUCCGUCUUCGGCCCCUCCAACCUCGCCCCCGACCUCGCCUGCUGCUCCUUCGACCACACACUCCGCUGCGAGGUGAGCUCCCCUGUCCUCUCUGCGCGAUCCAUGCCAGAUCCUCAGUCUGGAUACAUGUGCAGUAGAUAG